AGCGCUAGUUCCGCAAGCAGUUGCGGAAGACGAGGAGAAGGUUGUCGAGACGUCAGCGGAUGCCUUCCGGCCGGUCCGGUCGAGAGCGCCUGUGAAACCGAGAAAGUGAUUUUUCGAACAGAGACAGG
Molecule: non-coding RNA, 128 nt
Filed under: uncultured Selenomonas sp.
Lineage: Bacteria; Bacillati; Bacillota; Negativicutes; Selenomonadales; Selenomonadaceae
Description: glmS glucosamine-6-phosphate activated ribozyme
Rfam family: glmS glucosamine-6-phosphate activated ribozyme aptamer
About the family: This entry contains a glucosamine-6-phosphate activated ribozyme that is found in the mRNA for GlmS.
Source: RNAcentral